RNAcentral lists this long non-coding RNA (671 nucleotides) under Junco hyemalis (dark-eyed junco). RNAcentral's name for it is "lncRNA (ENSJHYG00000017900.1)". Lineage: Eukaryota; Metazoa; Chordata; Aves; Passeriformes; Passerellidae. The record is from RNAcentral.
AGUCUUCCUGCUAUGAUAUCAACCAAGAGACUUCCUUGAACAUUUCUGAAUAACUACAGACAAUUUUGCUGUCUUCACCUGGAAACAGCCUAACACUUGACUGGGUUCUGAAGGAUUGAGCAGUGACUUGACUGGAAUAUUCCAUUGCAUCACAUGGCUGUAUUUAAUAUCUAAGCUCUGCUGAAAAGUAAAUUUGCAAUGCUCCGCCUGCAUAGGAAAUGGCUGGAUACCACAAUCCUACUGCAAUCAACUGCAAUAGUUCUUCAACAGAUUUGGGUCCAACCCCAACUGAAUUAUGAAUGGAAAAAGCUGCUGAGAAACUGUAGCCAGCUCAGUGGAGAAGCAGAAGCAGACUGGGAGCAGCACACACCUGCUUUUCCUAGAGGCACCCACGUAAAGAAUAACUGAAAACAAUUUGCUGUUCUCCUGACCUGCCUCCUCAAGGGCUCCCAAGAUACAGGGACACCACCCAGAUCUCAUCAAGCUCAUUUGAAGAAAUCCUGAGCAGACGCAGAAGCAAAGAUAAUCUGCAAUACUAUCGCCAUCAGCUUGAACACCCACACACCACCAGGCAAGAUCUGUGAUUCCUGAUUGCCUCCUGUCCCUGAUAAGUUUCCUUUUCCCUCUGUAAACUGCUCCUGACUGUCAUCCCUUUUCUCCAAAGAGAGCCU